UCCGGUAUCUGUCCGCGGUCGACCUGAGGGAGUUUUACAUCGGCGUAAACGCGAAUAAGUGGCCUCGCCGCGCGCAAUCUCGUCGUUGUGGUUUCGCGCUGCGCGCCGUUUUCUGCUAAAGCGUGACCGAAGCGUUCGUAACGGAUGUUCGUACUCGAUUUUCGAAAUGAGCGGCUGCGCGACGCGAAAGUUAAAGCAAAAGAUGCGUCAUUAAGAUGCAUCGUUGCUCGUCGAACAUGUUGUCGUUGAUAAUUAAAUCGUAUCUCAAGUGCGAUAUGUUAAAGAUUGAUUAAGCGCAAUAUAUCCAGUAUAUUGUCUUUCUUAUGAAUAUAACAAAAUAUCAGUUGCAAUAAAAUUAAAUUGCGCGCACAGAGUUUAUCGAUGUGUAAGUGUGUUGGAGAUAGUAACUUGCAUCGCCAUGCAUCUUGAUUAUUAUGAUCGCCAACAGUUCCGUUCUCGACUGAGGCGAGCAGCCACACCUGAACGACCUUGAUGUGAUCAGUCAUCGACCAUCGAGAUGCGAGCACAUAUACGUAUAUUACGAUAGUAAUCUGCUCUGCUAUUUAUUUCCACACUAUAUAUACGUAUAUCCAUGCUUCGUCUCCAUUAACGCGGACAAUCUCUUGAAUUUUGGAGAAGGUUCUUUGGAGUAGAGUGUAUAUUUUCGAACGUGAUCAUUCUAAGGCGGGGUGAAAGAACGGGAUGAACGUAAGAUUCUUAUGCAUGUCACUAGAAGAAAAAAAGGAUACCGUAGAAAAAUACUUCAACGACCUGUUUGCCGGCUCGUAGUGAACAGACGGAAAUAUCAUUGCCACGCUCCCGGUAAAAAAAAUACGCUCCCAGAGAAUGCUUUUUCUACGCGUAGAGAAAUAUAUAGAAGAGGAUAAUAGAGAGGAAAAGAGAUGAAAGUACGGCAGACACAUGGCGCUACGCAAACGCCAGCACCGUAAACUGUCGGCGAUACGACUUGCACUUGGCGCGUUUAAUCCUUUCGCACGAUGGCUCAUCUGGCCACCAAGCGUGUUCCACUCUUCAUGCGAUGUUGCGAUGUAAAGUUCCGAAUACGCGAUUGAGAUUGCGUUGCAAACGGAAAAUUGGAACUUUCAUUAAUUUAAUAUAAUAAAUUAAUUUCAUCCUAAUUGCGAUGUGAUUAAACAGUCCAGUGCAAUACGGCGGUGUAAUUUAGUUUUUUUUUUUAAUUCGAGAGAAGAUUAAUUUAAUUUUCUCACUUUUAGGAGUAAUUUUGCUUUCAUUUAUGAAAAAGUGAAUUAAUUUAUUUGUUUAUUAUUGAAUUAGGUUUAUUGUUAUAUUGUUAAA
This is a long non-coding RNA of Linepithema humile (Argentine ant), 1317 nucleotides long. RefSeq lists it as uncharacterized. The record is from RefSeq and is a predicted model, not a curated record. NCBI's taxonomy places the organism in Eukaryota, Metazoa, Arthropoda, Insecta, Hymenoptera, Formicidae.